RNAcentral lists this ribosomal RNA (423 nucleotides) under Triticum aestivum (bread wheat). RNAcentral's name for it is "partial small subunit ribosomal RNA". Lineage: Eukaryota; Viridiplantae; Streptophyta; Magnoliopsida; Poales; Poaceae. The record is from RNAcentral.
AUGGCGAAGCCGCAGCAGGAGGUCUACUUCGUCUUCAUGAACUUCGACCCUGUCUACGAGCGCCUAAGGGCCGAUCGGACGAAGCAGGGGUCGGCGACGCUGGACGCGUACCUGAGCCAGAAGCACGAUAAGCUCCUCGCCAAGCUCCUCCAGCCCGACACCUACUGGAAGAAGUCCUCGCUGGCCAUCGUCGACGGAUUCGCCGUCGAGAUCACCGACGCUCAGGUCACCGCCCCGCCUAUAACCUCACAUGCAUCAUGGAUGUACAUGGAUCCUCAUACAUGCUCACCUCUACUGUACAUGAAUCUUCUCUUACACCCUGAUUGCACACAUGAGCGACUUAACUAUAUACUGAUGCAGGCCAGCGUGCUGAGGUCGGCCAAGGAGGUGAGGGUGGUGGAGAAGAACCAGGAGCUUGCUUGA